AGCGGCGGAUGGGUGAGUAACACGUGGGGAACCUGCCCCUAAGUUUGGGAUACCAUUUGGAAACAGGUGCUAAUACCGGAUAAUAAAGCAGAUCGCAUGAUCAGCUUUUGAAAGGCGGCGUAAGCUGUCGCUAAGGGAUGGCCCCGCGGUGCAUUAGCUAGUUGGUAAGGUAACGGCUUACCAAGGCGACGAUGCAUAGCCGAGUUGAGAGACUGAUCGGCCACAUUGGGACUGAGACACGGCCCAAACUCCUACGGGAGGCAGCAGUAGGGAACCUUCCACAAUGGACGCAAGUCUGAUGGAGCAACGCCGCGUGUGUGAAGAAGGUUUUCGGAUCGUAAAGCUCUGUUGUUGGUGAAGAAGGAUAGAGGUAGUAACUGGCCUUUAUUUGACGGUAAUCAACCAGAAAGUCACGGCUAACUACGUGCCAGCAGCCGCGGUAAUACGUAGGUGGCAAGCGUUGUCCGGAUUUAUUGGGCGUAAAGCGAGCGCAGGCGGAAAAAUAAGUCUAAUGUGAAAGCCCUCGGCUUAACCGAGGAACUGCAUCGGAAACUGUUUUUCUUGAGUGCAGAAGAGGAGAGUGGAACUCCAUGUGUAGCGGUGGAAUGCGUAGAUAUAUGGAAGAACACCAGUGGCGAAGGCGGCUCUCUGGUCUGCAACUGACGCUGAGGCUCGAAAGCAUGGGUAGCGAACAGGAUUAGAUACCCUGGUAGUCCAUGCCGUAAACGAUGAGUGCUAAGUGU
Molecule: ribosomal RNA, 743 nt
Filed under: uncultured bacterium
Lineage: Bacteria
Description: bacterial SSU rRNA
Rfam family: Bacterial small subunit ribosomal RNA
Source: RNAcentral